CCCUUAGAUGUUCUGGGCCGCACGCGCGCUGCACUGAAGGGAUCAGCGUGUUUUCCCUUCCCGAGAGGGACGGGUAACCCGCUGAACCCCCUUCGUGGUAGGGAUCGGAGCUUGCAAUUGUUCUCCGUGAACCAGGAAUUCCCAGUAAGCGCAAGUCAUAAGCUUGCGUUGAUUACGUCCCUGCCCUUUGUACACACCGCCCGUCGCUACUACCGAUUGAACGUUUUAGUGAGGUAUUUGGACUGGGCCUUGGGAGGUUUCGGCCUCCCUUGUUGCUCGGAAAGACUCCCAAACUUGAGCGUUUAGAGGAAGUAAAAGUCGUAACA
RNAcentral lists this ribosomal RNA (326 nucleotides) under uncultured eukaryote. RNAcentral describes it as "partial 18S ribosomal RNA". It matches the Rfam family "Eukaryotic small subunit ribosomal RNA", at positions 1470 to 1796 of the family's 1831-position model. The record is from RNAcentral.